RNAcentral lists this transfer RNA (62 nucleotides) under Podarcis lilfordi (Lilford's wall lizard). It matches the Rfam family "tRNA". Rfam says of the family: Transfer RNA (tRNA) molecules are approximately 80 nucleotides in length. Lineage: Eukaryota; Metazoa; Chordata; Lepidosauria; Squamata; Lacertidae. The record is from Rfam by way of RNAcentral.
CCUGGGAUAGCUCAGUUGGUAGAGCAUGAGACUCUUAAUCUCAGGGCAAACAAAUUCCAGCA